RNAcentral lists this ribosomal RNA (473 nucleotides) under uncultured Planctomycetaceae bacterium. RNAcentral's name for it is "bacterial SSU rRNA". It matches the Rfam family "Bacterial small subunit ribosomal RNA", at positions 29 to 505 of the family's 1533-position model. The record is from RNAcentral. Lineage: Bacteria; Pseudomonadati; Planctomycetota; Planctomycetia; Planctomycetales; Planctomycetaceae.
AAUGAACGUUGGCGGCGUGGAUUAGGCAUGCAAGUCGCACGAGAAACUAAUUAGCUUGCUAAGAGGUGGACAGUGGCGAAAGGGAGAGUAACGCGUGGUUACAUGCCCUCGAGACCGGGAUAGUGUUGGGAAACUGGCAGUAAUACCGGAUAACAUCUUCGGAUCAAAUGGUGUGAUUCCGCUCGAGGAUUGGACUGCGUACUAUUAGCUUGUUGGUGAGGUAAUGGCUCACCAAGGCUUCGAUGGUUACCGGGUGUGAGAGCAUGGCCCGGCUCACUGGGACUGAGACACUGCCCAGACAUCUACGGAUGGCUGCAGUCGAGAAUCUUCGGCAAUGGACGAAAGUCUGACCGAGCGACGCCGCGUGCGGGAUGAAGGCCCUCGGGUUGUAAACCGCUGUCAGUAGUUAGGAAAUCUAUGGGGGUUCUCCCCUGUAGUUGACCGAUCUUCAGAGGAAGGACGGGCUAAGUUCG